Molecule: non-coding RNA, 7696 nt
Organism: Callithrix jacchus (white-tufted-ear marmoset)
Lineage: Eukaryota; Metazoa; Chordata; Mammalia; Primates; Cebidae
Source: RefSeq, a predicted model, not a curated record
GGGGAGGGGGGCCUGCUGCCCCUAUGGGAGCUGGAUGGGCCUCUUCUCUUGGCCCCUGCCUUCCAAAGAUCAUCAGAAAGGAGCAAAGAAGAGGCUGCCAGACUGCUAGAGCCCACAGGGAUUUUGUAGGGUUUGUUUUUCCUCAGCACUUUCUGCAGAGGUGAGGACAUGAAUAAAAGAAUGAGGGAAGAUUUAUUGUUCCCAUAUCUUGUCAGUGAGCCCUGGAUUUGUAUAGUGGAUCUGGGAGGGGGCUGGAGCAGUUGGGAAGACUGUUUGGGCCCAGGCAGAAAGCCAGACCUUGCAAGGUUUUCUGGAAGGACCCAGGUGGGUGGUGGAGGGUGAAGUUGAAUUUGGGAGGAGUGGAUUUAGACCAACUCUUCCCCAACCACCAGAUGCCAGACUUUGACAUGCCAUUUGACACAACAUUUGAGGACUCGAACUCCUGACCUCAAAUGAUCCUCUUGCCUUGGCCUCCCAAAGUACUGGAAUUACAAGCGUGAGCCACUCUGCCCAGCCGAAGGGAGGGAAGGGUAAGCACACUGAGGUAAGACUCUGCAGAGCUUCUCUCCCAAAGUGGCAGAUCUGAUUCCAGCCACUUUGCACAUGCAGGGCCCCCACCAUGUUUAGCUGCCUCCUUCAUGGACAAUGUCAGGGAAAUUCUCAUGCAAACUGCCAUGCUUCAUCCUCACCAAAAAUGGCCUCAACUCUCAUGGGUGAUGAUGCUAAGCUUAUCCCCUCAUACACAUGCUCACAUACCACCUUGACAAUUUACCUGGCAGGCAGGAUCAUAAAUCAGGACAAAGAAUUAAUUGCAAUGGUCCUAUACAAGAAAUAGAGACCUGUAGUAGCAGAUGUGUGUGGAGUGGUCAUUUCUCCAUAAUCUUCUGAAGUUUAGUUCAUAGUUUAGACUUUCCUCCAGGCUCACAUUUGUGGGGUCCAGACAAGAGUGUGGCUAGAGACCCAUGUAUCACACGUCUAAAUAGUUCGAAGUAAUACAUUACCCUAACACACUGUUAAACUAAAAAUGUUCUAUCUUCUUAUAAUAAAAAGUAGAACAUAUAAGGAUAUAGAAGGCCAGAUCCAAAUUUUGAAUUCUUGAAUUUUUGAAUUCUGUCCUAGAGCUUGGUUGAUGAAGAGAGUAGGCUUGUGGCCACCUUUUCAUACCACGCCCUGAGCCAGCCUCUCCUACUAAGGGCUUUCUGCAUAGCCAUGCGGACACUCUAUCCUGCUCAGGGGUUUGCCCAGCAGUGGCACAUGUGCAGCCUUUGGAAGCGGUCUCAGGGCCUUUGGAAAUUUCAGGAUCUAGAAAGGGAGACACAGGUCUGGGUGGCACAGGACUUCAGCUUUGCGAAUUCUCCCCUUAGGGUGGGUCUGGUCAAAGAAGGGCCAGGGGAGCUGGGCUGGGACUAGGACAAGGCAGGUGAGGUGCCUCAGUGCGAUAUUUAAGGCGGCAUCACUCUCAGGCUCACACAGAGGCAGGCCAGCUCCUGCCUCACCCUAGUCUUGGUCCUAUAGGGCAGGAUCCUCUAAAGUGAGCAGCCCAGAGCAGGGAGGGCUUCUCCCAUCUGGUCUCCAUGGGUAUUGAUGGGUUACUCCUAACCAUCGAGUGAGACAAAAAGGCAAGAUGACACAAACAGACCUCUCUCCUGUGAGUCCCUAUUUUCCUAAAGUACUGUAAAGCAUCCCUGAUUACAUUUCAGGGAGCUCCACGUCCGCAUCAGCCCAGCGCCCAUGGUGGUCCCUGGCCUCAUUCUCUGUGGAAAAGUACCCAGUGAUUCAUUAUCAUUCCCACUCACAUAGCUUCCUAGAAAUGAAUGUCGAUAAACACUGAGAAAAAGUCUAGUAUAAAAAUACACUGUAUUCCAGAAGUCUUGCUGAGCAGACAUUAGUGCAAACCAAGGAGAGCCAAAGCUAAUUAGGAGAAAAGGGAUGUGCAGAAUCCAGGGAAAGCUGUGGGAGAGGAGUGAGUUCAGAUGCAUUUCGGAAAGGUCUAAAUCACAGAGGACGCUCAGGAAACAGUGGAGAAGGUAUGGGGGUCAGAUAUGAGUGUUCAGAAGCCUGUUGAGCGGGUACUUGCUGCUCCACGUGCAGAGACAUUUGGGAGGGGCUGCGUGGGGAGGAGAGGAGGGCGCUGGCCCAGGAGCUGGCAAGCAUGGGUUUGAAUCUGGGCUCCAGUGCUUGCUGACCAGUCCAGCUAAGUCACUGGAUUUUGCUGAGUUUCUAUUUUCUCCUCUGCAUAAUGGGACCAAUAAUAUGUUUCCUGUUUAACUUGCAGAAAAGGUGGGAAGACCACGUAAAGCAGCAAGAAGGUUUUGAAGGUUGUACAGAGGAUCCAAGGUACCAAAAGGAUGGCACAGAUUCAGAACAGCAAGGGUGAUGCUCAAGCUCCGGGUAAGGUGCGGUCCUGGCCCCUGAAUCCUCCUCAGACCAACCCUUAUCUGGCAUUGGUCCUUCCAAGUAAAGAGAAGCUUCCCAUUUAAGCCUCCAUUGUGACAGGAGGCUGAAAAGUGUAAGAGAAGGCUGGAGUGAAAGUGAAUUGGCAAAGCACUAAACUGAGGGGAAACAGCAGGGUGGGAGUAGCUACUGCAAAACCAGUCUAUUAACGGAAGGUCCUGAGGGACCAGGAUGGAUUUUCUCAAGAAUGAACACUAAGCCUAGCGGACUGAAUAAAUGAAGACACAUCCAUCAGGGACCCACUGAUUGGCAGGAGCAACAUGCUGUAGGAUCAAGUCAUAUUCAGGGUCGAGGCUGACAUGUUUGCCAAGUCUCAGAGUGGCCACCACUCCUUAAAGCUGGAAAAAAUUUAUUUAGGAUUCAUGAAAGAAAGAUCCUGCUGGGAACAGUUUUAUGGAGCUCCUUACUCUGAUGUUCUAACCACAGAAUGAAAAUAGUGUCAAGAAAGAAUUUAAUGAAUUCUUGGAGAGUGAAGACAGAAAGGCCUUCUUAAAGAAAAUCAGUGAGGUCCAAAGAAUUUGCCUAAUUGCGUGGGAGUGCCACUGUGAAGUUCAGCGUGCCUCCCCUGACUCCUCUGAUGCCACUGCACACCCAAGUGUUCUUAAGCCAUGAUUUCCAAGUGUCACUCAAGGGUUUCUGCUCAGGCAUCAGCAUGCUGCACUCACCCCAACCUCACAUUCGGGGUUUUGUGUGAGCGUCAUGCCCUGAAAUCUCAUACCCCUUAGCCAUAGCCCACAAACCUCAAACCAUCAGCUCCUGGGAAACCUGUUCAGCUCAGGACUCUGAGAAUGAGUAUGUGGCCGCUUUUCCACGUGGCCAAGUGUUACCCCGGAACAGAAGACAGAGAGAGAACCAGCACUUUUUGCACAGCUACUUCGCAUCAGGCACUAAACCGGGUGUGUUAUUAAAGCUGGUUCACUGAGUCUUUACAAAAACCCGGUGAGGGAUAGUCUGUUCUCUGUGUAAGAGGAGGCGGAGCCUCAGAGAUAUUAAGUAACACACUUAAGGGCACACAGCUAGUGAGGGAUAGGAAUGGAUUCAAGUCUACAUUUUCUAGCUUCAGAAUCUGUGCUCUUCUACUAUUCCUGCCUCCUGAACAGAAAACAAGAAACUCCUCUCUUUGCUCUGAAGUCUCGGAGCAGUGUCUCCCAGCAGGGCUGAGGCCAGAAUAUUCCGCAGGGGAAUUAGAGGCUCUUGGUUCCUGCCAUGACCUUGGUCAGGUUAUUUGACCUUUCUGAGUUUCAGUUUCCAACAUGGAUAAAGUAGGAAUAAUAUACUCCCUUACCUCUUUGCAGAGUUGUGGAUAGAUCUAAGAUAAAAGCAAAUGUGCAGAAGCACUUUGCCAUGGUCAAGCAUGCAUUUGAUUGUAGAAUAACCCUUGCUUGAUACAAUGCUGUGAGUUCACCCUCUUCUUCACACAUCACGAUCCAUCGAGGUUUGUUGAGUGAGUGUUGAUCCACAGACAUUCUAGACUUGAACUGAUUAAACUCUCAUGAUUCUGCCAAGAGGAAAAAGUCAUUUGCUCUUCUUUUCAGAGUCUGGUCAUUGUGGGGAAGAAUGGGGAAAAAAAAUCCAUCUAAAGGCCAAAACUUUCUUUUGUGCCAGCACAAGAAAGAAAGUAACUUUUGGAUUUAAGGCUUGGCAGCCAACCAAGCUCCAGAGAACAACGGAAGCUGCCCAGCACCAGGCACGAGGGGCAGGCAGGUACAGGGAGAAGACCUGGAAAAAAUUGCCAGACCAACUCAAAAUCACAAAGUUUCCAGAGCUUAUAUACCUUCUAAGCCAUGUGUCUAUGUUUCUCUGUCCUGUUCCCAUGCGGAGAAGAUCCUUGCAUCCCAUUCUGCCAUGAUUGUAUGUUUCCUGAGGCUUCCCCAGCCAUGUGGAACUAUCCCCAGAAUGGAGCCCAGACAGAGGAGCAGGGAGACAUCGGAUUUGUUGCUGCUCUCAGCCUCCUCUCAGCAUCCUUGUCUACAUGCAGGGGUUCUGCCAAGCUGAGCUGAACCAGAGACCCACUUGGGAGAGACCCAGGAGCUGAGAAGCACUGGCCAGUGGUAUUAGCCCUUCCAGUGGCCCCUCCAAAUUCAUGGCCCCAGGAGUGGAGAAGUCCUGCUUGAUGCUCUCGGGUGUCAGCUCCUGAAGGUUCUCAGGGGAGGAAUGCCUAGGAGUGCUGAUCAGGAAGUCUGUGAACUCUCUCCAGACCAUGCAGGGAAAGGGAGGUGCCCCAGGUUUGCUUUUUCUGCCCUUCCUUACUGGUCCUACCUUUGUAUUCACAUCAGAAACACAGUUGCAUUAUGAUGUCUUCGGCUUCCCUGCACAUCUCAGCCCUGCCUCAAGAAAGGAUGAGGAAGCUGAGUCUCGAGAGGCUAAGUGACGAUAUUCUCACAGCAAGUGAUGGAACGCGAAUCUGAAGCCAGGUGUUCCUGGAAGAGAAAGACAGAGGAUGAUUAGAGAUGCAGGCACGUAGAAGAAGGAAGGCCACAUAAAGAUGGGAACAGGGAUGGAAGUGAUGCCACCAGAAGUCAAGCAGUGCUUUGAGCUACCAGAAGCUGGAAGAGGUUUCAGGACCAGCAUGUCUAAAUCAAACCCUCUCUGAACAUCCAGAUUCUCUGGAGUAAAGAUUCAGCAUUUCAGGAGGCAGCAAUAAAUCGUGGUAGAGAGUGCAGGUUCUGAAGUCACAUUGUGCAAUGUUGGGCUCCUCAGUGAUACACUUCCUCCAGCCAUGGACCCUUCAGACAAGAAAUGUGCUGCUCCUGCGUUUCGACCCACUCUUUCUCUGCAAGAAGUGCCCAGAGAGCUCCAAGUGUUGAAAGGCAAGUGUCCUGUGGAGGUUUCCUCUGGACUCCUGGCUGCUUUUCAAAACAUAUAUGAAAAGACUGUAAUAUAUUUAACUUUGAAUAUUUAGCUAAACAUCCUAGAAUUUUGAUAUCAGAGGGGAUGACUCACUGGCUACUCUGAAGUGCUUGGUCCACAAUGAGCCAUUUUCCAUAUUCGGUGAGUACACGUGCUGGAUAGGCUGUUUCCAUGAACCAAGCUGACAGUCUAAGAGCAAAAGGCAUGGGUCCCUGUCUACCUGUUGAAACCCUCUUACAAAGACCACUGGGAAGCAAUGCUCCCUCUUUCACGGCAUGUUUAUUAAUGCUCAAAACAACGCUCCUUCUUUUAUGGCAUAAGGGAGCAUUGUUUUGACAGAGAUGCAGCGGUGGCUCAAAAUGGGGAAGUUAAUGAGUUUUUGUGAUAGAGUGGUUGCGGGGUAGAAAUUUGUAAGUGAGGUCUGGACUGGGGUUGGUCAGAAUUUGUAAACAAUGUGAACUUCUGGAAUUGUCAGAGGUCUUGUCUCUAGAGCCUGAGUUCAGAGUCACUGCUGAACCCUUUUUCCCGUGGUCUUGGCAUCAAGCCUCUGUGCAUACAACACAACAAUGUGCAGUUCUUAAAGUAGUUUGACCUUUGCUGGUGUUUCAGGGUAUGGUUUGAUACAAUUGAUCCAUUUUGCAGGUCAUAGUACAGUUCUGCACUUUGUAGUUUCAGUUGUAUUUCUUACUUCUGUGGAAAGGAGAAUUAAACUCCAAAGAAAUGCCUCUCCUCUUAUUUAGUCCAGGAACAAAUUCCUAAUGGAAGCAAGAAUGAACACUUGUUUCCACCCGGAGUGUCCCUUUCGCUGCCACCUCAUGCUCCACCAGAGAAAGUCUCAAUCUUCUUGCUGAGUCAGGGAUCUUCAGCAAUCUGGCCUCCACCACUCACCACACCCGAUCAUCACUCACCACCUCCAUGAACAUAAGCCAACCUCCAUCGCCAUCACCCACCAUCACCCUGCCCACUUCCAUGGCCCACCCUUUCACCAUCCUACCACUCCCUACCAGUACCACUUAUUAAACAAGCACUGUGUGCCAGGAGCUGUGCUAUGGGGGUUUGCCAUGCUCAUUUUAUUCAAUCUUCACUCCAGCUUUAUGAUGUAGAUUAGUGGUUCUCAACUAGAAAGAUACUGAUGCCUGGCUUCUCGCCCAGAAUUACUGAAUCAAGUUAUUGGAUUAGGGCACAGGAAUCUGUAUCUUACAAAUAUUUCAAAUGAUUUUGAUGCACAGAUAACAUUUGAGAACCACAGAUGUAAACAAUAUUAUCUUUGUUAUACAGAUGGGCCAAGGGAGAGGAGAUUAAAAAUGAUUUCCCCUGCAAUCCCAGGAAAGGCUAUUUUGAAGAUGUUUGGGGAAUAGUCUUAAAGAACCAAGAGCAGCGGCUGGCGCAGUGGCUCAUGCCUGUAAUCCCAGCAUUUUGGGAGGCCAAGGCAGGAGGAUUGUCUGAGCCCAGGAGUUUGAUACCAGCCUUGGCAAUAUGGUGAAAUGCCAUCUCUACCAAAAUUAUGAAAAUUGGCUAGUCUCAAACAAUAGAUUAAAAUUUUAAAUACGAAAAAGAAAAAUCAAGAAAAAUUACUUCUGUUUAAUGAACACCUAAUCUAUUGUUGAUCUCAUUUUAUAGAGGAGGAGACUGAAGCCUAGAAAGGUUAGAUCCAUUUCCUAAGGUCGCACAGCUCAUAAGGGGAGAAGCUGGGUUCAGAAGCAAAUCCUCCUGACUGCACAUGCUGUGCUCUUUCCUGGAUACUGCAGUGGCCUCCAGGGAGCCCCUCUCAGGGCGGCCUCGUUGUUUCUUUGUUAUACAGACACCCUGACCAUAUUUCAGCUUCUAACCAUGGAAACACAAUUUUCCCACCAAGAAUGAUGUCAUCUCUGCUGUCCUGGCCUUUACGAGCAUGGAGUGUCUUUGCUACCUUCCUUUCUCCGAAGCAGCUCCUUUUAACCCCAACAGGCCUCUUUCCUCCCUGGUACUCAGGUGUAAGAUGUCAGUAUUGUUUCUCCUUUUUCCCUUUUCUCUACCUAUCACCUCCUUUUCCAACAUAUUAUUUUCCCCUGUCUUUCUCCAAUUUCACUGCUGUUGCCCCAGGUCCUCACACUCUGAAUCUUUGUGAGACCCUCUAACUGGCUUAUUGACACCUCCAGUUUCUUCUUGUUGUUACCCACCCGGUACUCAAUAAAAGAUUUAUCUUCUAAAAAUACUUUUGUUGUCACUCCUGGCUCCAAAACCCUAUGAAACCCUAACUGUUCAUCCAAAGCCCUCCCCAAGAGGGCCAAGUCUACAGAUUCAUUAAAAAACAAAUAAAUUAUAAGAAACCUGAUUUUGUUUUAAAAUUCCUGCACAAACAGCUAAGUGAUUCUGACAUUCUACUCAAUAUUUGGACUCUUGCUGAAACACU